Molecule: long non-coding RNA, 547 nt
Organism: Morus notabilis
Lineage: Eukaryota; Viridiplantae; Streptophyta; Magnoliopsida; Rosales; Moraceae
Exons: 3
Source: RefSeq, a predicted model, not a curated record
ACUGAUGAUGCAUAGUCAAGAUAGACUAUCCUGACCAGAAAGCCCUUUUCAUAUAAAAUCCACAACACAUUUUGCCGUCUCCUCCACAAAACAAAAAUAAUUCCUCUGUUUCAUACUGUUUGUUUUUCUUCAUAGACUUAGAAGAUCAGUCUAGAAGUCUUCUUCCUUUGCCUUUGCCUUUCUUUCAACACAGAUCGUAAUGAGCGAUCCAAAAUAUGCCUAUCCCUACCCUGCUCAAGGUUACUAUCAAGGCCCUCCGGUGAUGGCCCCUCCCCAGUAUGCUGCUCCGCCACCCAGGAGAGAGGCAGGUUUCCUUGAGGGAUGUCUUGCGGCCCUGUGUUGCUGCUGCCUUCUUGACGAGUGCUGCUGCGAUCCUUCCAUCAUCUUUAUAAGUUAAUUAACAUUUUAUAAAUUAUAUAUUAGCAGCUAUAAUGCAUGAUUAUGUUAUUUCCUUUUUACUUUAGCUUUGUUAUGCUUUGACGUUGUACAAGACACUUUAGUUUGUUCUCUCUUCCAUGACCAUCUUUGUACUCUAAUUCCCUCUUAA